AAUAUUACAGCCAUGCCCACAUAUUUUUUAUCCGAAUUGUGUCCAAAAGCAAAAAGUUCAACAACAAUAUAAAGCAAAAAACUUAAACAGAUGUGAAACUGGAGUUAAACCGCGAAAAAAGGUACUUUUUUAAAUACUUCCUGUAGAUCCAUCCUAUCCUACCUUUUUAGUUACAAAAAACACCACGAUAUUUUUCACCCAAACCCACUGGUUCUCGAUCUCUGUCUAUGAUCGGAAAUCAUAUUCCUUGAUUUAAAAUUCGGUGGAAUAUUAUUAGCUUAUAACCUAUUUCAGCUGCAAAUUUUUGCAUUUAUUGCAUCCCAUUAAUAAUACCUGAUACUCAAAGGCGGAAAAUCUGUGGCAUCCACAAUUUCAAAGAUAAGAGACAAUCGAAAACGCAUUUGAUUAAGUUCAGUUGCAUAGUAAUAUUUAUUGCCAAUGGUUCAGUUCCACUUCAAAAUAAGCUAGUAGUACAUACAUAUGUACAUAGAACAGUUAUAUAGGUUACUGCAUCUGCGAUUAGCAGACGUUCAAGAUCACCCACGAUAUAGAUAUGCCAUUGGGAAUUUUAUUACAUAUGUAUAUUUAAGUGCAAAAAAAUGUUUAUAAUGUAUUUUUAGAGUGUUAAUACUACGGGUUUUCUCCCAAGACUCUAAGACCAGAGAGCAGUUCUACAAUUGAAACCAUUCCUGGAAUCGCCUGUUCUGGUCUAAGGCCCUUACUGGAUAUUUUCAUUUUGUACUAUGUAAUGGUAUAAAUAACAUAUAAGUUACCAUGUAAAUAUACUAGAUUUAAUUUACCUAGGAACUAAGUUGGCUCCAAAAUGCCCCAAUGUUUCCAGUUUUUCCUUUGACUUUGGCUCUCCAGUAGCCUUGCACAUUAACACUUCAGAUUUACAUAUAGAAUAAAUAGAAACACAGAUUCCACAGGAAAUACAAAAGAAAUAAAGGUAAAUCUAAUACUGUUGAAUAAUUUUCUAAAUGGAAGGAAGCGGGCUCUG
Molecule: long non-coding RNA, 1000 nt
Organism: Drosophila miranda
Lineage: Eukaryota; Metazoa; Arthropoda; Insecta; Diptera; Drosophilidae
Exons: 2
Source: RefSeq, a predicted model, not a curated record